Molecule: ribosomal RNA, 118 nt
Filed under: uncultured archaeon
Lineage: Archaea
Description: partial 16S ribosomal RNA
Rfam family: Archaeal small subunit ribosomal RNA
Source: RNAcentral
UGUACGCAAGAGUGAUAGGGGAACUCCGAGUGCACUUGCUCAAGCAAGUGAUUUUUACUAAUGUAAAUUCCUGUUAGAAUAAGAGCUGGGUAAGACCGGUGCCAGCACCCGCGGUAAA